CCUACGGGUGGCAGCAGUGGGGAAUAUUGGACAAUGGGCGAAAGCCUGAUCCAGCCAUGCCGCGUGUGUGAAGAAGGCCUUCGGGUUGUAAAGCACUUUCAGUGGGGAAGAAAGCCUUGGGGCUAAUACCCUCGAGGAAGGACAUCACCCACAGAAGAAGCACCGGCUAACUCCGUGCCAGCAGCCGCGGUAAUACGUAGGGUGCGAGCGUUAAUCGGAAUUACUGGGCGUAAAGCGCGCGUAGGCGGUCUGAUAAGCCGGUUGUGAAAGCCCCGGGCUCAACCUGGGAACGGCAUCCGGAACUGUCAGGCUAGAGUGCAGGAGAGGAAGGUAGAAUUCCCGGUGUAGCGGUGAAAUGCGUAGAGAUCGGGAGGAAUACCAGUGGCGAAGGCGGCCUUCUGGACUGACACUGACGCUGAGGUGCGAAAGCGUGGGUAGCAAACAGGAUUAGAUACCCGAGUAGUC
This 465-nucleotide ribosomal RNA is filed under the name Vreelandella stevensii. RNAcentral describes it as "partial 16S ribosomal RNA". It matches the Rfam family "Bacterial small subunit ribosomal RNA", at positions 338 to 795 of the family's 1533-position model. Lineage: Bacteria; Pseudomonadati; Pseudomonadota; Gammaproteobacteria; Oceanospirillales; Halomonadaceae. The record is from RNAcentral.